AACGAACGCUGGCGGCACGCUUAACACAUGCAAGUCGAACGGCAGCGGCACCUUCGGGUGGCCGGCGAGUGGCGAACGGGUGAGUAACACGUGGAGACCUGCCCUGGGGUACGGGACAACAGUUGGAAACGACUGCUAAUACCGUAUACGUCCUACGGGAGAAAGAUUUAUUGCCCUUGGAGGGGUCCGCGUCGGAUUAGCUAGUUGGUGGGGUAAAGGCCUACCAAGGCGACGAUCCGUAGCUGUUCUUAGAGGAAGAUCAGCCACACUGGGACUGAGACACGGCCCAGACUCCUACGGGAGGCAGCAGUGGGGAAUAUUGCGCAAUGGGGGAAACCCUGACGCAGCAAUGCCGCGUGAGUGAAGAAGGUCUUCGGAUUGUAAAGCUCUUUCAGCUGGGAAGAUAGUGACGGUACCAGCAGAAGAAGCCCCGGCUAACUCCGUGCCAGCCGCCGCGGUAAUUC
This 464-nucleotide ribosomal RNA is filed under the name uncultured Magnetococcaceae bacterium. RNAcentral describes it as "bacterial SSU rRNA". It matches the Rfam family "Bacterial small subunit ribosomal RNA", at positions 29 to 526 of the family's 1533-position model. The record is from RNAcentral. Lineage: Bacteria; Pseudomonadati; Pseudomonadota; Magnetococcia; Magnetococcales; Magnetococcaceae.